Nycticebus coucang (slow loris) is the source of this 105-nucleotide small nuclear RNA. NCBI's taxonomy places the organism in Eukaryota, Metazoa, Chordata, Mammalia, Primates, Lorisidae. The record is from RefSeq and is a predicted model, not a curated record.
GUGCUCGCUUUAGCCACACAUGUAGUAAAAAUUGGAAUGAUACAGAGAUUAGCAUGGCCCCUGUGCAAGGAUGACAUGCAAAUUUGUGAAGCAGUCCAUAUUUUU